RNAcentral lists this ribosomal RNA (446 nucleotides) under Burkholderia sp. oral taxon 406. RNAcentral's name for it is "bacterial SSU rRNA". It matches the Rfam family "Bacterial small subunit ribosomal RNA", at positions 30 to 471 of the family's 1533-position model. The record is from RNAcentral. Lineage: Bacteria; Pseudomonadati; Pseudomonadota; Betaproteobacteria; Burkholderiales; Burkholderiaceae.
AUUGAACGCUGGCGGCAUGCCUUACACAUGCAAGUCGAACGGCAGCAUGAUCUAGCUUGCUAGAUUGAUGGCGAGUGGCGAACGGGUGAGUAAUACAUCGGAACGUGCCCUGUAGUGGGGGAUAACUAGUCGAAAGAUUAGCUAAUACCGCAUACGACCUGAGGGUGAAAGUGGGGGACCGCAAGGCCUCAUGCUAUAGGAGCGGCCGAUGUCUGAUUAGCUAGUUGGUGAGGUAAAGGCUCACCAAGGCGACGAUCAGUAGCUGGUCUGAGAGGACGAUCAGCCACACUGGGACUGAGACACGGCCCAGACUCCUACGGGAGGCAGCAGUGGGGAAUUUUGGACAAUGGGGGCAACCCUGAUCCAGCAAUGCCGCGUGUGUGAAGAAGGCCUUCGGGUUGUAAAGCACUUUUGUCCGGAAAGAAAUCGCACUUACUAAUAUUAGG